This 490-nucleotide unclassified non-coding RNA is filed under the name Hevea brasiliensis (rubber tree). Lineage: Eukaryota; Viridiplantae; Streptophyta; Magnoliopsida; Malpighiales; Euphorbiaceae. The record is from RNAcentral.
AACUUUUCAAAAUGACAAAGAAAGACUGACGACAACAUGCAAGAGGAAAAUAAAAUUCACCAUUACAUGAUCAUCUAGCAGUAAAUGUAAACUUGCAGAUGAGAAAAUCUCAUUGGAUCAUAUACCUAAAAUACUAACAGUGACAAAGAAAAUCAGUGAAUAGACAAUCUGUAAUAAAUAAUCAAUGGCCCAAAACCUGUAAAACUAGCAUUAAUUUUAUAAACAUCGCAUUAGAUAUCCAGUAAAACAAGUAUCAUUGGAUAAAAAGGAAAGGAACAAAAGAGACCUCAACCAUCCAAAUUUGUCCCCGGGUGUCAAAAAAGCCAUGGGCAUGGCUUUAACUCCUCUCACCUAAAGAAUAAAACGCCAAUCACAGAAAAAUAACAGGUCCAUCCAUCCCAAGUGGGAUUUUCAGAGCAGUGUACUGAAAGGGUCUUGGCAAAGAAUGGUAUAAAUAUAAUAAAAAUAAAAACAUGGAUUGACUUCGCGA